AGCUCUGAUGGCGUAUAUUAAAUUUGUUGCAGUUAAAAAGCUCGUAGUAGAAUCGAUGGUCAGUCGAUGGAAUCCCUUUCAGGGAACCUUUGAUCGGCCAGGCAUCUCACGAUGCCUCGUUACUUUGAGAAAAAUAGAGUGUUUCAAGCGGGCAUAUGCUUAUAUAGUGUACCGUGGAAUAACAAUCAGGCUGCAUUUCCGCUUUUCAACUCUCGGAAAUGUGGUGCGUGUUGAGAGGAACAAUCGGGGUCUCUUAGAUCGAAGAGUGAGAGGUGAAAUUCUUAGAUCUCUUCGGGAUAAACUAGUGCGAAGGCAUUCGACAAGGAUGUUUCUUUUU
This 337-nucleotide ribosomal RNA is filed under the name Saccamoeba sp. Its description in RNAcentral is "partial small subunit ribosomal RNA". It matches the Rfam family "Eukaryotic small subunit ribosomal RNA", at positions 587 to 975 of the family's 1831-position model. The record is from RNAcentral. Lineage: Eukaryota; Tubulinea; Elardia; Euamoebida; Hartmannellidae.